Molecule: ribosomal RNA, 253 nt
Filed under: uncultured bacterium
Lineage: Bacteria
Description: partial 16S ribosomal RNA
Rfam family: Bacterial small subunit ribosomal RNA
Source: RNAcentral
UACGUAGGGGGCAAGCGUUGUCCGGAUUUAUUGGGCGUAAAGAGCGUGUAGGCGGUUAGGUAGGUCCGUUGUGAAAACUCGAGGCUCAACCUCGAGACGUCGAUGGAAACCAUCUAGCUAGAGUCCGGAAGAGGAGAGUGGAAUUCCUGGUGUAGCGGUGAAAUGCGCAGAUAUCAGGAAGAACACCCGUGGCGAAGGCGGCUCUCUGGUACGUGACUGACGCUGAGACGCGAAAGCGUGGGGAGCGAACAGG